RNA transcript from Mauremys reevesii (Reeves's turtle), 1060 nucleotides. It is a transcript of the gene named fibulin-2-like, with no coding region annotated. The transcript has 2 exons. The record is from RefSeq and is a predicted model, not a curated record. NCBI's taxonomy places the organism in Eukaryota, Metazoa, Chordata, Testudines, Geoemydidae.
UUUCAUCCCUGACUGGGGGAACCCCCUGCUGAUUGGCUGCCUUCCCCACUCACCACCCUUCUGGGGAAGGGUAGCCAAUCAGAGCUACUGCAGGCAGAGUUUCUUUCCCCUCCCCUCAGGGGCUGACCCUUUCUUACAGGAGGGGAGAAGGGAGCAUGUAGGACACAGCAGGUUAGGGCAGCUCUGCUUCCUUUCACUCCAGUGAACAAUGGGAUGGCUCCUCUGCUCCGCCCCCAUUUGCCCUCCUGCCACACUGGCUUCACAUCAGGGCCUAGGAGAGAGGGGUGAAGACUCUCAGAAGCUGUAGGAGGAGCAGAGAAAACAUGAAGCCUGAACACGUGCUUUGCCUGUUGCUGAGCUGCUUUCCGCUACCCAAAGCUGCCUGUAAGCCCUUGAAAGCCGACUGCACUCUUGUCAAAUGUAGCCCAUGCCCUGACCAACACACAGCGGUACCUUCGGAGAAUAACUGCUGUGCUACAUGUGCCCCUCCAUGUUCCUGUCCAGAUUACCAGCAAUUGGAAUGCACCAUGCAAGGCUACGAGGAUGGAAACGUCCCUGUGGGGAAAUCUUUCCACAUAAACUUUGCCACUGAACUUUGCACCUGUGUUUCUACAGGGAAUAUCUCCUGCACUUCAGUUUGCCCCACGGUUUCACCUAUGUGCAAGGAGACCGGAAGCCCUCCUGAUGGCUGUCCCCAGUGCGUAUGUCCCAUUGACAAUGACAGAAUCGUAGUUGCUGGCAGCACCAUUCCCAGGGACAGUGAGAUUUGUGUAUGUCCCCCUGAGGGAGGCAAACUAUUCUGCACCUCAACCACACCUCAGCUCACUACAGUCUACCAAUGAAUAGGCUCUGUUCUCCAAGUAAGCUAAGUAUUGCAGGAGGGCAAAGCGUUUUGUUUAGACUAUAAGAGAACCCCCAUUGUAUCUUCGGGCACCCUUAUGGAAAAUCCUAUAGAAUGUACAAGAAAAUAAUUAUCUUGCUAUAGGUGUUUCAAACUCUCCUAUAAAAUGGAAUAGUGAAGUAUAGUCACCCCACCUUGCCGCUCAAAGCGGCAGGAGCU